UACGUAGGGUGCGAGCGUUGUCCGGAAUUAUUGGGCGUAAAGGGCUCGUAGGCGGUCUGUUGCGUCAGGAGUGAAAACUCGGGGCUUAACCCCGAGCCUGCUUCUGAUACGGGCAGACUAGAGGUAUGCAGGGGAGAACGGAAUUCCUGGUGUAGCGGUGAAAUGCGCAGAUAUCUGGAGGAACACCAGUGGCGAAGGCGGCUUCCUGGCCUGCAACUGACGCUGAGACGCGAAAGCGUGGGGAGCGAACCGG
RNAcentral lists this ribosomal RNA (253 nucleotides) under uncultured bacterium. Its description in RNAcentral is "partial 16S ribosomal RNA". It matches the Rfam family "Bacterial small subunit ribosomal RNA", at positions 524 to 776 of the family's 1533-position model. The record is from RNAcentral.